Non-coding RNA from Emiliania huxleyi CCMP1516, 188 nucleotides. The record is from Rfam. Lineage: Eukaryota; Haptophyta; Isochrysidales; Noelaerhabdaceae.
CACUCUUCUCGGCCUCUUGGCUAAGAUCAAGUGUAGUAUCUGUUCUUAUCAGUUUGAUCUCUGGUAUGCCGGUCACUGACCGGCACAAUGAUCAAAUUGAUUUUUCUCCGGGGCUGUCUGCGCUGGCUUGCCAGCGCAACAGCGCUCGUGGUUCCACGCUUGCACGUUCGAGGAAUCGCGCACCCGUC